This 467-nucleotide long non-coding RNA is filed under the name Pan troglodytes (chimpanzee). RNAcentral's name for it is "long non-coding RNA NONPTRT012835". The record is from RNAcentral. Lineage: Eukaryota; Metazoa; Chordata; Mammalia; Primates; Hominidae.
GGCCGCCCUCGGGCCCCGGCGGGGUUUGGGCCGCGCUCCCCAGGAACCCGCUCCAGCCUGGCCCCGGAGAGCGAGAGCCCGGCGCCUGCGUGGCCCCCGGGGCUGGCCCCAGAACCCUGUUCCUUACGCUGCCUGACAUCGGCGAGGAGGGGGCCUCGGACGGCGACUCCGGGGAUGGCGAAGCAGGACUGUCAGAAGGACGUAGAAGGCACAGUUUUACUGUGAGGAGCAAAGAUUCUUUACCUACGCAUUUUACAAGAAAUGUGCAGAAAGCCAUUGAUAAAUACACCUGCGGAAGCCAUACACCCACGGGAGCCCACACCUCUUGGUCUGGGUCGGCCACACAGAGCUCUACCACCGGCUCAUCCACGGAGAGGGGCUCCAUUUAUUCCUGGAGAGAUGACGAAUUUGACGAAGCCAGUUCACAGUCAGUGCAGCGGUUACUCUGGGAGGUGGAGGAAAUGUUA